GCGAACGCUGGCGGCAGGCUUAACACAUGCAAGUCGAGCAGGCAUCUUCGGAUGUCAGCGGCAGACGGGUGAGUAACACGUGGGAACGUACCCUUCGGUUCGGAACAACUCUGGGAAACUGGAGCUAAUACCGGAUACGCCCUUAUGGGGAAAGGUUUACUGCCGAAGGAUCGGCCCGCGUCUGAUUAGCUAGUUGGUGGGGUAACGGCCUACCAAGGCGACGAUCAGUAGCUGGUCUGAGAGGAUGAUCAGCCACACUGGGACUGAGACACGGCCCAGACUCCUACGGGAAGCAGCAGUGGGGAAUAUUGGACAAUGGGCGCAAGCCUGAUCCAGCCAUGCCGCGUGAGUGAUGAAGGCCUUAGGGUUGUAAAGCUCUUUUGUCCGGGACGAUAAUGACGGUACCGGAAGAAUAAGCCCCGGCUAACUUCGUG
This 434-nucleotide ribosomal RNA is filed under the name uncultured bacterium. RNAcentral's name for it is "partial 16S ribosomal RNA". It matches the Rfam family "Bacterial small subunit ribosomal RNA", at positions 29 to 507 of the family's 1533-position model. The record is from RNAcentral.